UUUGGUAAAAGGUGGAGAUUGUUAAUUUUCAAACCCUGAACCUUCAAAUGUUAAAGGUAUGCUUCCAAAAUUUGGGAGAAAGUGUUUUUCCAAAACACAUUUCUCAUAGUGGAUGUUUUUAACUGGAUUGAGGCAUUUGGCAUCUUCGUGAUCGUUAGAUUAACAUAUCUAUGGUUCUAGCCUUAUAUUCAUCUUUGUGACUGUUUGACCCUUCACUUCAUCUGGUUCAACUGUUGGCUGCUUUUUGAGAGAACUUUUCCUUUUGUGUUAGGGUUUCUCAUUCUUGCUUCAUUCAA
Molecule: long non-coding RNA, 296 nt
Filed under: Olea europaea (common olive)
Lineage: Eukaryota; Viridiplantae; Streptophyta; Magnoliopsida; Lamiales; Oleaceae
Description: long non-coding RNA (OEUR_LNC013540)
Source: RNAcentral